CUGGCUGGUGUCUGUCUCUGUUACUGUGUAGUGCCAGAUUUGAACCGGGAGCUUCAUAUAUGGUAUAGUGAAAAAUAUAUGAGUUCUGACCCAAGAACACUGGUGGAGUGUCCAUGAAGACCUGGAGAGAUGGUGAAGCCGAGACAUCGGAAGAGCUUGGGUUUCUGAGUUCUCACAAGAAAAAGCGAACCAGGAAAUUUGGCCAAUUGUGGACACCUGUCUUCACUGAUUUCUGCCUGGAAUGCAGACAAGGUGGCUGGAGCUUCAGCAACGAUUAUAUGAUCAGCAAGGAGGGAGAGGCCAUGAAGGUCACAAGACACUGGCUCUGACACUCCUGAGUUGCUGCAAGACCCCAGGAAUUCCUAUUUCUGCUCUUCUUUUCACAAGAGCUAAAUUAUUAUCUUGCCAAAGCCACGGUGGUUGAGGUUUUCGGUUCAAAAUGUCGUCAGAAUCAGUCUUUCACCUUGGGAAAAUAUGUCAACAGACAUAGGCCUAGUCAAAACCUGUUGCUACCUGAAGCCAAACUGUUGGAGGACUUCCUUCAGGAAGUCACAUAUUUGUCAACAUCUUAAAAAAAAAUGAGCAACACUCUGAAAA
This is a long non-coding RNA of Erinaceus europaeus (western European hedgehog), 597 nucleotides long. RefSeq lists it as uncharacterized. Lineage: Eukaryota; Metazoa; Chordata; Mammalia; Eulipotyphla; Erinaceidae. The transcript has 3 exons. The record is from RefSeq and is a predicted model, not a curated record.